GCAUAGCAUAGCAUAGCGCAGUGGCGCUUGAGUAGGCGUAGGAUGCGGCAGCGGCAAUAGCUCCUCACAGCAUGGCCUCGGUCGCCGCUUGGCUGCCGUUUGCCCGGGCGGCGGCCAUCGGCUGGGUGCCCAUUGCCAGCCAUCCCCUGCCUCCUCCGCCCGUGCCCAAGGACCGUCGCAAGGCUGAUGACGAGAAACUGCUUAUCAACGUGUCUGGUCGUCGCUUCGAGACUUGGCGUAACACGCUCGAAAAGUAUCCUGACACUUUGCUCGGCUCCAAUGAGCGCGAAUUUUUCUUCGACGAAGAAUGCAAAGAGUACUUCUUCGACCGCGAUCCUGACAUAUUUCGACACAUCCUCAACUACUACCGCACCGGCAAGUUGCAUUAUCCGAAGCAUGAGUGCCUGACGAGCUAUGAUGAGGAGCUGGCCUUCUUCGGUAUUCUGCCCGAUGUGAUUGGUGACUGCUGCUAUGAGGACUACCGAGACCGCAAGCGGGAGAACGCCGAACGUCUGAUGGACGACAAGCUCUCGGAGAAUGGCGAUCAGAAUCUGCCACAGCUGACCGACAUCCGACAGAAGAUGUGGAGAGCCUUCGAGAACCCACACACGUCGACAGCGGCACUGGUGUUCUACUAUGUGACGGGCUUCUUCAUCGCGGUGUCAGUGAUGGCAAACGUGGUGGAGACGGUGCCGUGUGGCCACCGACCGGGUCGUGCUGGCACGCUACCCUGUGGCGAGCGCUACAAGAUCGUGUUCUUCUGCUUGGACACAGCCUGUGUGAUGAUCUUCACAGCAGAGUACUUGCUGCGACUGUUCGCCGCUCCCGACCGCUGCAAGUUCGUGCGUAGCGUGAUGUCGAUCAUCGACGUGGUGGCCAUUUUGCCGUACUACAUUGGCCUCGGCAUCACUGACAACGACGACGUGUCUGGGGCUUUUGUCACGCUGCGAGUUUUUCGCGUGUUCAGAAUUUUCAAGUUCUCCCGUCACUCGCAGGGUCUUCGAAUUCUAGGCUACACACUGAAAUCGUGUGCUUCCGAACUCGGCUUCCUCGUGUUCUCGUUGGCCAUGGCCAUCAUUAUUUUUGCCACGGUCAUGUUCUACGCAGAAAAGAAUGUCGAUGGCACUAACUUCACAUCGAUUCCGGCCGCCUUCUGGUACACCAUUGUCACUAUGACCACCUUGGGGUACGGAGACAUGGUACCAGAAACAAUCGCCGGUAAAAUAGUGGGUGGAGUCUGUUCAUUGUCAGGAGUGCUUGUCAUAGCAUUGCCCGUACCUGUUAUUGUGUCCAACUUCAGCAGAAUAUACCACCAGAAUCAAAGGGCUGACAAGCGCAAAGCUCAAAGGAAAGCACGUCUGGCUCGCAUCAGAAUCGCAAAAGCGUCUUCUGGAGCGGCCUUCGUCAGCAAAAAGAAAGCAGCUGAAGCCAGACUGGCUGCUCAAGAGUCCGGUAUGGAGAUGGACGAGAACUAUCGCGAAGAGGAUAUCUUCGAGUUGCAGCAUCAUCAUUUAUUACGCUGCCUAGAGAAGACUACGGACAGGGAGUUUGUGGAGCUGGAGGUGCCGUACAAUGGUCAGCCGAAAAGGCCAGGAUCGCCAUCUCCGCUGAUCAGUCCGACCCACUCGGCGGGGAGUCGGACAGGGCUGCUUCACUCCUGCUGUGGUCGCUGCUGUGGGCAACGUUACCAGAGUGCUAAAUAGACCUGGAGAUGUAGGCUAAAUAAUUUGAACAACUUCAGCGUUAUACAGUAAGAGAAGCAGCAGCAGCAGCAGCAGCAGCAGCAGCAAAAGCAGACGCAGCAGCAGACAGAUGAUGCAGAUGCAGAUGAUGAGAUCCAGAUCAGGUUGCAGUUACGGCGUGCUUGCGCGAGUGCGGGAACGAGCGAAGCCGCCGCCGCCGCCGCCGCCGCCGCUGCCAACUCGACAACAUCAUCAUCCAACAUGACAUCGGUCGUGGUCAACCUGCCAACAUCAUAUGCCAACUCUGACAUGAGCCCUGCCAGCCCCACCAGCGAGGCUCCUGAAGUGCGCAUUUCCUUCCUAUAACGACCUGUGAUCGGCAGCUAUGACAGUGUGACUGUGUCUCACUUCGAACUAAAACCCUGAAACUGAAGCGUGCAUUGAGUCAACCACUCCAAGCUCUGUGAAACAUUAUUGAAACUGAUAGAGCAUUCUGAAGCGGAAUUGGUGUGACAUUCGAAGAGUAAGUUCUGUCAAAAAUCCUCCAAGAAUCGCUCUCAAAUGUGCUAUACUGACAAAGCAUCAUUUUGCUCAAUAGGUACUUGUACACAAUAAUAAGACUAUGCAUUCUUGGUGAUUGAUGACAACAUUUUCUCAGAACUUCUUUGGUCUUGUGCAGAAAAUUGUCGAAAGUUAGUACACCUCAAUAACCUCUCUGGAAUCAUCCAAAUUUAGUGAUUUUGUUGUGGCGUGUUGGCUUAUGAAUCGGUAUCCAAUUUAUCAGUGCACUCUGCAGCUGAACAAACUGGGACAAUAUACAAUUUAGAAUUUCUUUUCAAAUUGUCAACUCAAUUACAUUGAUUAAUUACUGUAAUUCAUUUGGUUUUGAAAGUGAUGCAUGUAUACUUAUCUAUUAUUGGAAAUUAUUUGAUCGUAAAAGUUCUGCAUGAAUAUAAACCAUCAGUUGUAAGAAACAGAAAAUCGCUAAUCUCCUAAUCAUGAAUUAUUUCAUAAAAAGAGCCGAAAGCCACAUUUCAAUUUGAAAACGUAUGAUAGAGGAUAUGUGAUAUCUGAAAACAUAUCCAUUGCAAGUUAUUGGGAUGAUGUGCCAGAACAGAGUUGCCUUCUGCUUCAUCUUUGCAGAUCAGUUGCUCACAAAGCAUUGCACAUUCUUCAUUCAAUUUUUCCUACAAACAUAUAUAAAGUCCAUUACAUCUCUUUAAUGAUAUUGUAUUCGAGCAAUAGAAUAAUAAUUUUUAUUAUCGGAAAUGAGUUGCUCUCAAAUGUGUUUUAUGGUAAUAGGGCAUUGACUUAGUGAUUGUGAAAUUUGUAGAAGACUUCUUAUUGAAUUGACUCGCUCUCGAACACCACGAAAAUGUGCAUUGUGCAAUCACCAGGGUUUUUGUUGUGAGUCUUACCCAGUAGCUGACGCGCUUUCUACAUUCCGUAGUAGUAAAGGUAGUCUUUUAUAAACGAAAAUGAGCUGUUAACUAUAUCGAUCGAUCAGUCAAUCUUUAAACUUUUUCUUAACAGAAAUCCAGAUUAAGUAUUUCAUUAAUUCAAUUAUCGUUACUAUAGAUAUUGUAAGAUUUGAACUAUCGCACUGUGGAAGCUCGAAGACGUGUAUAACAAAUUUUCUAUUAACAUUGUAAUUGUUGUACUUGAUGAAUAUUUAAAUAUAGUUUUUAAAGAAA
This 3376-nucleotide unclassified non-coding RNA is filed under the name Nilaparvata lugens (brown planthopper). RNAcentral describes it as "potassium voltage-gated channel protein Shal, transcript variant X12". The stretch from base 1182 to 1295 matches the Rfam family "Potassium channel RNA editing signal". Lineage: Eukaryota; Metazoa; Arthropoda; Insecta; Hemiptera; Delphacidae. The record is from RNAcentral.